AGAUGAGCAUCCAUUUGGACACUUCUGUGUGUUAUACUCUAUGCUGAAGAUUUCAAAAUAUUACCUCCUAAAAUCCUCACAAUGCCUCUCUGAUGGGUUGUUGCGUGUGAUGAUGGAAUAGACAUCUCUGUUUUCCUCAUUUCACCUCUCCAAGUCAAACAGAAGAGUGUGAGGAAUUCUAUCUCAGAGACUUCUGUCAGAAGCUUUUUGCUGACAGCCUGACUGGCGGCUCUGAAGCUUACCAGAUGGAAGUGUUUCCCACACUGACCUCCCUGAUGAGCCAUGCACAUCGUUAUUUCUCCUAGAUAACAAUAUAAAACAAUAGAAUAAAUAGAAAAAUAGUGACCGAUUUAGAGACCUAUAACAAACUACACUUUUCACAAAAUGUGGACUUCAUUCAUCACUAAGUGGUAAUUAUACACACAGAACAGCACAGAAACAAAGUAUGGGGUGAGAGACCAACUGAAUUAUAAAUCACAGAAAGGAUAAAUUACAUU
Molecule: long non-coding RNA, 497 nt
Filed under: Equus asinus (donkey)
Lineage: Eukaryota; Metazoa; Chordata; Mammalia; Perissodactyla; Equidae
Description: lncRNA (ENSEASG00005034786.1)
Source: RNAcentral